Molecule: RNA transcript, 5004 nt
Organism: Abrus precatorius (Indian licorice)
Lineage: Eukaryota; Viridiplantae; Streptophyta; Magnoliopsida; Fabales; Fabaceae
Gene name: cyclin-T1-3-like
Exons: 7
Source: RefSeq, a predicted model, not a curated record
UCGGGCUGGGUUACCAACCCCAUGACCAUGAUACCAUACCAUGCUGACCCAACUUUUAAAAUGUGGACGAUGCUUGCCGUUUUAGAUAAUCCUUCGUUUCUUGCCUUCUGAGCUUCAAAUACAAGCUACCUCUCUUUUCAAAACCCUAAUUUCUUCCUCUUCUUCCAAUCUCAAUUCAUCAGAUCGCCUUCGCUGCUUACUCAGGAAUUAUGUCUUUUGCACAGAAUCUUCAAGCAGAAGAUCGUAGUUUACAUGGUGGUUAUUGGUCCACCUUUGAUGGAAGCAACUUUGGUGGCAACAACAAUAGGAAAAGGAGCAGGAACAAUUAUUACCACCGGAAUUAUAACUUUUACAAUGACAACCGGACAAAAUUUGGGGACCAUGGUGUUAACUUCAAUUUUUACCAGGCUGAUCAUGCUAAUUAUGUUAAAUAUGAUGCUGUUCCGUCAUCUUUGAAAAGGAGAAAAUAUUCAGCCCCUGUUUGGGAAGAAAGUCAAAAAUACUAUUUUCCUCGCAUGGUCCAUGACAAUAUCCCUCCAUCCUGUAGUUUUCAGGCUCCUCCUUCAAGGUUCAAUGCUGAUGCCUCUACAUCAGCUAGCUGCAAGCUUGAUUGCUCUAUUUUUGAAGAUGAUAAGCCUGUUUUUAUGUCAAGGGAUGAGAUUGAUAGAUACUCUCCAUCAAGGAAAGAUGGCAUUGAUGUACAUCACGAGACACACCUGCGGUACUCCUAUUGUGCCUUCCUUCAGAACCUUGGAAUGCGUCUUGAGCUGCCUCAAACCACCAUUGGGACGGCUAUGGUUCUAUGUCACCGCUUCUUUGUUCGACGAUCACAUGCUUGUCAUGACAGAUUUUUGAUUGCUACUGCUACUGUUUUUCUUACUGCAAAGUCAGAGGAAGCUCCACGCCCUUUAAAUAAUGUAUUGAGAGCAUCCAGCGAAAUCUUACACAAGCAAGAUUUUGCUUUGUUGUCCUAUCGGUUUCCUGUUGAUUGGUUUGAACAGUAUCGUGAAAGGGUGCUUGAGGCUGAACAGUUGAUACUUACUACUCUAAAUUUUGAACUCAAUGUGCAACAUCCGUAUGCACCUCUUACAUCCGUUCUUAACAAAUUAGGUCUAUCAAAGACUGUUUUGGUGAAUCUGGCAUUAAACUUGGUCAGUGAAGGGUAUCCCAUUUGUUGGUUCUGACUAGGCUCUUGUUAUCUAACAGAGUGACUGGAUAAAAAAACCUAGUCUAGGAAACAGGCAAUGGGGCGUUGGGUGUUAAAUCUCAUGCAAUAGAAUGUCUUGAGGUCUGGAGAUCUAGUGGCUGAGGAAGAUACCUUGGUGUCUCCCCUUCUAAAUUUUGGUUCAAAAUAGUGUUGAUUCUCUCAAUGUUUUUCUUUAGCCCAACUUCUCUGUGUAGCUAUUCUGUCAUGGGAUAUUGAUUCUUUUGGCAUGCAUAUAAUUGCAGGAUCUUCACAAGAUUAGCGUGCUGGCCUGUAUGAUAUUCUUAGCUGGCGGAUUGAUAUGCUGUUCAUGGAAAGUUUUGUUUUACAUCUGAAGUUGAACUGCUGAUGUCUAAUGGAUUGCUUUACAUUGAAUUUGUCCCAUCAAUUUCUUUGAGCUACCCAAGAUAGCUACAAGAACCCUUAGCCCCAACUCUGAUUUUAUGUCUAACCCUCAAUGCCUUGUAGUUUAUGCUGAUUUCCAUUAACCAAAAGGGCUCUCUAUAAUUUUUAGUAACAUAGGUGGAAAGAAUAUCAUGGACUUGAUUUGACAAUCAGAAACUAACAAAAAGAAAAGAAAACAAGUGAGAGACAGAAGCAAACCGUCUAAAAUUCAAAUAUGGAAUGAAUCUUUAAUUGGUCUGAACAAAUUUUGAUUAGUGAUUACUUGUUAAUCAAAAUGAAAUCUUUCAACUACAGUGAAUAUAAAAUGUGGAGGAAAAUAGAGGUCUUUUCUACUGCUGGUCUGUUAUUAUUAAAGAGUUAGUGUCUCUACUGGUCCCUGUGAUUUUGUUUAUCCUCCUUUUCUUCAAUGAAAGGAAACCUUUCCUCUUAGUCUAUAUAUUGAUUUGGAGGAAAACUAUUCUCAGGCAUGAACCAACCAAUAAAGGUCUCUCUUCUGAAGUGUUUCCUUUGUGGUCAGUAUAAUUGCCGAUUUUUGGGUUUGUGCUAAGUUUCUUAAUUUCCUCCUCAUUUCCAACCACAUUGAAUGUUUUGGUAACUCAAAUGGAUUAUUUUUGACUCAUUUUCAUUUUUUUCCAGGUGUUUUAAAUUUGGAUUUAAUUUUGUUCCAUUUUCAAUCUGCAAGAUUUUUUCAGUUUUCAUCCAAUAAUUUGUUGACGUAUCAGAAAAAGUUUGACGACAACAACUACCUAAAAAAUCAUCCUUCUUAAAUGAUGAUGAAUGAAGAAUUGUUGGAUGAUAAUGUUCAAAAUUAUACAUUAACAAUAUAUCCAUAUGUUUAGCGUUGUGAGCCUUUGCAUGUAUUCUAAUUUUAACUGAGCCAUUUCUUUUUUCAAAAGCUCAAAUAUCUUGUUUUGUUCAUGCUAUCAUGUAUUUCCACCCAUUGAAAAGUUCUUCGUAUCUUUGUUCAUUGACAUUGAGUCUAGUUAUUAAGUCUGUAACGGGAAUGGAGGCUAAGAUUUGACUGGCCUUCAUUUGGAACAGAAAAAAUUAGAAUUUAUUAACUCAAAAUUCUGAGAAUUUCACUUCCUUGUAGCAGUGAAUUUUUUGGUAAGGUCUUCCUCUGUGUUAACACCUAGGUUGCAGCCAAAGUUAUUGGAAAUUUGAAAUGAGAAGCCAAUUGGUUAGAUACAUGUGUUCAACUUUUGAAGUAGAUGUCCUAAAGCUUGAAUGCUUGACUGAUUUUUUUUAGUAGAAACUUUUUGUGAUUAUAAGAUGAUACCUUGUCCUUUAUGUUAGUCUUUCUCUCUUAGUUGUGAGUCCAAAUUGUUUAUUGAGUAUAAUUCUGUUUAUGUGUAGACCCCCCACUUCUCCCACCUACACAAAAAAAGCUCUAUACUGAAGCUGGCUCACAUUUUUCUUUCAUUCUUCACACCAUUUGGCAUCUUGUGGUAUUCUCUUUAGGUGUCAGCCUUAGUAUGUUAUUGGUUGGAGUGAUAGAUCUUUUUUAUAAUUUAAAUGGCUCAGCAUCUUCAUGAAGUCUCAAUACGGAUGGAACCCCUGUUAUCUCUGUACGGAGGGCUUUGCUAAAUUUGAUUGUUUUUGUCUAAAGAGAUGUUCUUUGAGUUAAAUUGCUCAAAGGUUUUCAUGACUUAAAAGCAUUAUUUGUUGAAUGGACAGUGGCUCUCUUUAUGCUUCUCAUUGUUCUAGGAAGUUUUGCUCUAGUGGCAUAGUGUUGUGUGAGCAACCCAUCUUUUUAUCCUUUUAUUCUCCAAUCGGAUUUAAAAUAAUACCUUCAGUACUUCCGAAAGUUAUGCACAACUAUUCUAAAAAUUAUAAUUUACUCCAUCCUUUUCCUGUGCUCCACCUUGACUUGAAGACAACGAUGAAAAGAAAUAGAGGAACUUGUUCCUGUUCUGUUUUUAGCCCUGUUCCCCCCAGAAAAAAAACCGGAUAGUUGGUAUCUUAGGUGACUGUGAUGUAGUGGUUCUGUGCAGACUACAUACCUUGUCUUAAGCUGACAAUAUUCCACUUUUGGCAAAUCAUGUGCAAACCUGGCUUUGUUGAAAAAUAGCGUUAGAGGGGGGUCUUUCACCAAAUCUCGUCCUAUUUAGCCCCUCAGGUUACAAUAAGAACCUCCCAAUUGUGGAAACAGAAAGAGGGGUAAAAUUACGUGUUUGUACUAAAAUGAACUUUAUAAAUUUGUCCGUGCAUCUUCCAUGUAUGCCAACUUUGGUGUAAAAUUACAAGUUUGUACUAAAUCAUUGACAAGCUUUCUGCUUCAAUUUCUUUUUAUUUAUUUUGCAAUGCUAAUUCAAUUUUUCUUUUCUUUUUUUCGUUUGAUGUUUUAUGUUGUGGCAUGAGUUUUAAAAUUCUAAUUUGCACCUGCAACGCAGAAUUAUUUGUUUUGUGGUAUGUUGAAUAAGUUGCAUUCUUAGUAAACAUUCCAAUGUACAUGGUAGCAAGGCUCUCCAGGUCAAAAUAUUGAGAAGAUGUGGCAUUGGCAUUAGCUUUAGAAGAUUCAAUUGUUUGCAAUAUGCAGCACAGCAUUGCUUCCUUGCAUGCUUUCUCAUUUUAGUUACAUAAAUUUCUGGAGUUUAGAGCCCCCACAGCAGAGUUGGGUCUGGAAGUCUGAUAAAUUCUCUAGAUGAGUAUAAGAUAUUGCUAUAGUUUGGUACUCUUAUCAGCAAAUCCUGCACAGAUUCUUGGAAUUGUAUUCUUCCUGAGUUGCUGCUUUUCUAGUUGGUAAGGAAAAGUUAAUAAAUUUGUGUUUUUCUCUUGGUAUGAAUGUUGAAUACUAUUUGUAUUAUGUAGUUCAUAUUAUUGCUCAUUUUAAUAGCUGACAUGAUCUGUCAUGGUGGGAACAUAUGCUAAGUUGGUGUUGCCUCGGAUGGUUAGUUUGACUAUUUAUGUAUCUCUAUUUGCAUUGAGCAAUGGUGGCUGUAGUGAUGUCUGUCUUGUAUGGAGUACUGAAGCUGAAAAAUGUUUUGCAGGCUUCGGAGCUCUCUCUGGCUUCAAUUUAAACCCCAUCAUAUUGCUGCUGGAGCUGCGUAUCUUGCUGCCAAGUUUCUGAACAUGGAUCUUGCUGCUUUUCAGAACAUCUGGCAAGAGUUCCAGACGACACCAUCCAUUCUUCAAGAUGUCUCGCAGCAGUUAAUGGAGCUCUUCUGAAAGUAUAAUAGAAGAACUAGCUUAUAGCAUCCUUAAUAGUAGAGUAGAUUGAGUAUAUAAAUCAAAAAAUUGCGUACUUGAGAGGGAGAGCCACAGAUCAUGAUGUUUAGGAACUGCGGUAUAUAAUUUGGUGAAUUACAGGAUUAGUGGGUGUGACCUACGUGUUUUUUCAAGUGUUACCAACUUCUUUAUGAAUCCUCUGCUAAAUGUUAAGCAUGCUUUGCAAU